This 245-nucleotide ribosomal RNA is filed under the name uncultured bacterium. RNAcentral's name for it is "partial 16S ribosomal RNA". It matches the Rfam family "Bacterial small subunit ribosomal RNA", at positions 524 to 768 of the family's 1533-position model. The record is from RNAcentral.
UUCGUAGGUGGCGAGCGUUGUUCGGAUUUAUUGGGCGUAAAGGGUUCGUAGGGGGCCGGUCAAGUCUGAUGUGAAAGCCCGGAGCUCAACUCCGGAAUUGCAUUGGAAACUAAUUGGCUAGAGCGUCGGAGAGGAGAGUGGAAUUCCUGGUGUAGCGGUGGAAUGCGUAGAUAUCAGGAGGAACACCGAAAGCGAAGGCAGCUCUCUGGACGAUUGCUGACCCUGAGGAACGAAAGCGUGGGGAG